GACGAACGCUGGCGGCGUGCCUAAUACAUGCAAGUAGAACGCUGAAGAGAGGAGCUUGCUCUUCUUGGAUGAGUUGCGAACGGGUGAGUAACGCGUAGGUAACCUGCCUUGUAGCGGGGGAUAACUAUUGGAAACGAUAGCUAAUACCGCAUAACAAUGGAUGACACAUGUCAUUUAUUUGAAAGGGGCAAUUGCUCCACUACAAGAUGGACCUGCGUUGUAUUAGCUAGUAGGUGAGGUAAUGGCUCACCUAGGCGACGAUACAUAGCCGACCUGAGAGGGUGAUCGGCCACACUGGGACUGAGGCACGGCCCAGACUCCUACGGGAGGCAGCAGUAGGGAAUCUUCGGCAAUGGGGGCAACCCUGACCGAGCAACGCCGCGUGAGUGAAGAAGGUUUUCGGAUCGUAAAGCUCUGUUGUAAGUCAAGAACGGGUGUGAGAGUGGAAAGUUCACACUGUGACGGUAGCUUACCAGAAAGGGACGGCUAACUACGUG
This 497-nucleotide ribosomal RNA is filed under the name uncultured bacterium. RNAcentral describes it as "partial 16S ribosomal RNA". It matches the Rfam family "Bacterial small subunit ribosomal RNA", at positions 28 to 507 of the family's 1533-position model. The record is from RNAcentral.